AGGGUGUAUGGGUGGGCGGGGGAGGCAGUUUGGGUUGACAGAGCUCAGACUAUAGGAGCAGCAAAGGCCUUGACAGAAGACUGGAUACUUUCCAGAGGUCAUCUGAUCUGUCACAAUGAAGGCAGCCCAGACUUCUUUUACUUACCUCCUUACUGGUUCUUCAUAUUCCCUUGGCCUUCCUCCUGCCAUGCCUGCCACCCAGCUUGGGACUCAGUUCUCAUCUCCCCAGACAUCUCCGAGGCAACAGAGACAACUUGGAAUAGGGGUGAGGGUGGUGUUUUAGGAGGCAGAGAGGAAGAGAGGGCAUUGGGCAGCUUCUUCUGCGUCCCUCUGGCCCCAGUUCCCUGAACCCAAAGUCCAGCGUUGUGGAGACCAGAGAAUGAAGAUAUAGAACAUUAACGUAUGUCAAAUAUAAGUGAGUGGCACUGAGGGGCAUAAUCUGUUUUUCUAAUAUGACCACAAGCAGAGUGUUAGAAGAAUUAGGCCGACAGCUGCUGUGUUUUUUUUUCCCUUUCUCUCUCUCGCUCUCUCACUCUCCCUUCCUCCUCGGCGUUUGCACACACCAAUGGCAGCAGAGCCCUGCUCGCGAUUUCUCUUAAUCUUCCUCCUCCAUCCUGCGCUCUUUCCGCAGGCGGUGCUGCGAAGCCGGCAGAGCCCAGCGUCACACCUUACUGCUCCUCAAGAUUGCUCCACAGAGAGCUGAGGGAGAUGGCAAUUCGGCGCUGACGCCGGCUGGCAGCAGUUGGGAGGGGGGAAAGAGUAGGAGAGAAGGAGGGAGGGAAGGGGGAAGAAAGUUGGCACAGAUACCAAGUUUUUCCCUAGAGAGAGAUGGGGGGGUGGAAGAGAGAGAAAAAGGGAGGGAGAAAAGGAAUGAAGAAAGAGAGAGGGAGGGAGGGGGAGAGAGAGAGAGAUGAUGAUGAAAGUUCUUUCUUGAUCUCUUACACACAAAUGCAUGCAAUCACCCCCCCUCCCCCCUCCGACCCCAGGCUCCCUCAACAAUGACUCUCCAUAGACCAAACUCUCUCAGGGUUCCACCCAAUCCCCUGCCAGGUGCCUGUACACCCUCCCACAUUCCCAAUCACCCUGGAGUCUAGACUGACUCACACAUGUGUGUGCCUGUACGUGUGUGUGUGCAUGCUCGUGUGUGUGUGCAUGCUCGUGUGUGCAU
RNAcentral lists this long non-coding RNA (1168 nucleotides) under Phascolarctos cinereus (koala). RNAcentral describes it as "lncRNA (ENSPCIG00000030680.1)". Lineage: Eukaryota; Metazoa; Chordata; Mammalia; Diprotodontia; Phascolarctidae. The record is from RNAcentral.